RNAcentral lists this long non-coding RNA (1230 nucleotides) under Zonotrichia albicollis (white-throated sparrow). Its description in RNAcentral is "lncRNA (ENSZALG00000004596.1)". Lineage: Eukaryota; Metazoa; Chordata; Aves; Passeriformes; Passerellidae. The record is from RNAcentral.
AUGUCUCUCAGUGCCAUAUUCCAUGCAAGUGCCUGUGUCAGUACCUCAUGUCCCAUUUGUGUCCCAUCCUGGUGCCUUAUGUCCCAUCCCACUGGCUGCUGUCACAUCUUGGUGGCUUCUGUCCUCUCUCAACUCCUUGUGUCCUAUCCUGACACCUCCUGUCUCCUCGUGACUCCUCCUGUCCCCUCCCAGUGGCUGCUGUCCCAUCCUGGUGCUCUGUGUUCCAUCCUAGCACUUCCUAUCUCAUCCUGGUGCCUUGUGUCCCAUUUCAUGUUCCCUCCUGGCACCUCAUGUCCCAUCCCAGUGGCUCCUGUCCUGUUCCAGCUCAUCCCAUCCCAUCCUCAUCAACCCAUGUCCCCAUCUGUCACCUUGUGUCCCAUCCCAGGGCCUCCUGUCCCAUCCUGGUGCUUCAUGUCCUCCUGUACUGUUUCCUCCUGGCUCCUGCUGUCCUGUCUCAUGUCCCUUCCCAGUGGCUCCUGUCCCAUCCCAGCUCCUCCCAUUCCAUCCCAAUGUCCCGUGUCCCAUCCUGUCACCUUGUGCUCCAUCCCAAGGCCUCAUGUCCCACUCUGGUGUCUUCUGUCCCAUCCCAUUGUCUCGUAUAUCCUGGUGCCUUGUGUUCCAUGUCAGCUUCUCGUGUCCCAUCCCAGUGUCCCGUGUCCCAUUCUGGUGUCCCCAGUCCCAUCCCAGUGUCCCCAGUCCCAUCCCAGUGUCUCGUGUCCUACAUCCUGGUGCCUCACGUUCCAUGUCAGCUCCUCGUGUCCCAUAUCCCAUCUCUGUGCCCCAUGUCCCACCCUGCUGUCCCCAGUCCCCUCUGCCCCCUCUGUUCCUGUCCCUGCUCUCAUUCCACCUAUUCCCAUUCUCCUUCCCUCCCAUUCCCACUCUUUUUCUACCCAUUCCUGCUCUCAUUCCCUUCUGUCCCAGCUCUCAUUCCCACACAUUUCUGCUCCCAUUCCCGCUCUGAUUCCAUUCUCAUUCCCUCUCUGUCCUGCCAUCCCCAUUCCCACCAUUUCCAUUCUCAUUCCCUCUCUGUCCUGCCAUCCCCAUUCCCACCAUUUCCAUUCUCAUUCCCUCUCUGUCCUGCCAUCCCCAUUGCCACCAUUUCCAUUCUCAUUCCCUCUCUGUCCUGCCCAUCCCCAUUCUCAUUCCCACCAUUUCCAUUCUCAUUCCCACUGUCAUUCCCACCCUUUCCCCGUUCAGUUCCCCCCUUCCCCACUCGGGUUCCCGCUCUGA